GCGCAACUCACGGUGCGCCACUUCACGGCUUUCGUCGCCGGGUUCCGGUUACCUGGCGGACCUGAGAGGCCGCUGCCCCUCCCCCACCCUGGACCUUCCUGCAGCGCAGACACCCCAAAGAUGGGGUCCUCGAGCCCCAGGACUCAGGAGGUGGGUGAGGGGCGAAAGCAGAAGGAAGGUGCACCCCCUCACGGACCUCGUCCUGACUCCCCACUGCUGUCCCGGCUUUCUGGCCCCAGGGACCACCCCUCCGGCCCACACACUCGCGUCGAGUCUCCCUUCGCCGAGGUUCCUGCCCUGAUCCCCGGGGUCAGUCAGCCCCCGGCCAGCUAAUGCAGUCCCGCUCGGCCCUCUUCCUCCUCGGGCCACCUCCCGCCCCACCACACCCCCACAGUACCGGUUCCCGCCCAGGGCGCUCUCCAGGUCCGCUCAGCCUCGCCCCCCUCGGAUCCCUCUGCAGGACGCCCCCGGGACGGGCCAGCAGUUGCCGCGGGGCCUUCCGAUCCCCGCGGCCAUGUCCCCGGUCUGGCCAGGCUGAUGGGGCCAAUGAUGGUUCUCUGCCCUUUGACAUUCAGAAACUGAAGGAAAAGAGAGAUACACUGGACAAGGAGAUCGCCCAAUUAGUAUCUGAAGGCUACAGUGUGGCUGAAUUGGAUGACCACAUCUCCCAGCUCCACGAGUAUAAUGACAUUAAGGAUGUCGGCCAGGCGCUGCUGGGCAAACUCGGGGCUCAGGAAGUGCCUAGAGGGGUCACAGCGGGGACCACAUGAAGAAGAGUGCUGGGCCGGGGAUGACCUUGAGGGAGGCUGCUUCUCAGCAGGCCACAGGGUCUGAUUCUGCCACGUGAGUGCAUGCCCAGGGCCCUGCCACCUCCUUGGCCUCGGUAGCUCUUGUCACCUUGCCAAGAGGAAACCUGUUUCUAUCACGCUGACUCCCGGACCCCAGCCCAGGCGCCCGCCACUGCGCUUCCUGCCUAUGACAGGGCCCGAUUCAGGGCCGCAGGUAGGUGCAGUCACAGGGUUUACCUGCCACUUAGCAGCUGCCGUCAGCCUUUAGCCAGGUUUUCUGUUGCAUGUGUCAGAAUUAAAAGAAACUGGAAAAAAAGAAGCCGUGGUGUGAAAGCAGUCUCUCUCCUGUCUCUGACACGUACUGUUAUGCGCGCCGGGUGGGUUUACUAGAAGCUGACGACACGCAAGCUGCCUUCCUUUCUUCAGAGGACUCCCAACACCCUGGUCUACCCCAAGACUGAACCCCAACGGGGAUGUCUGGGCCUGGUGUCCGUGUUUCUGACUAGAAAACUUUGCCCCCAAGUCCACAUGAGCUGCUCUGCUGUCCAGGGCUCAGCUGGUAUGUCACCACCUUAGAGAGGCCCUCCUGGAUUCCCAGCUGAAAGCAGCUCCCAGGCUCUGCUUCACUCCCCUGCUGGGGUGCUCACCUCUCCCGUGGUCUUGCCUGCACCUCCUGUGAUAGAAACGCCUUGAGAAUAAGGGCCUUGUCUGAGCCGUGAGGCCUUGUCUGGGCCGUGAGGCCUUGUCUGGGCUGUGAAG
Molecule: RNA transcript, 1547 nt
Organism: Condylura cristata (star-nosed mole)
Lineage: Eukaryota; Metazoa; Chordata; Mammalia; Eulipotyphla; Talpidae
Gene: SWI5
Gene name: SWI5 recombination repair homolog (yeast)
Exons: 5
Source: RefSeq, a predicted model, not a curated record